GCUGGGCGCGUUGGCACAUGCCUGUGAUCCCAGUGCUCAGGAGGCUGAGACAGGAGGAUCGCGAGUUCAAAAACAGCCUCAGCAAAAGCGAGGUGCUAAGCAACUCAGUGAGACCCUGUCUCUA
This 124-nucleotide small RNA is filed under the name Marmota monax (woodchuck). Lineage: Eukaryota; Metazoa; Chordata; Mammalia; Rodentia; Sciuridae. The record is from RNAcentral.